UGGCGUCGAGCGGCGGACGGGUGAGUAAUGCUUAGGAAUUUGCCCAGUUGAGGGGGAUAACCAUUGGAAACGAUGGCUAAUACCGCAUACGCCCUACGGGGGAAAGGAGGGGACCUUCGGGCCUUCCGCGAUUGGAUAAGCCUAAGUGAGAUUAGCUAGUUGGUGGGGUAAUGGCUCACCAAGGCGACGAUCUCUAGCUGGUCUGAGAGGAUGAUCAGCCACACUGGAACUGAGACACGGUCCAGACUCCUACGGGAGGCAGCAGUGGGGAAUAUUGCACAAUGGGCGAAAGCCUGAUGCAGCCAUGCCGCGUGUAUGAAGAAGGCCUUCGGGUUGUAAAGUACUUUCAGUCGUGAGGAAGGUGUUGUACUUAAUACGUGCAACAUUUGACGUUAGCGACAGAAGAAGCACCGGCUAACUCCGUGCCAGCAGCCGCGGUAAUACGGAGGGUGCGAGCGUUAAUCGGAAUUACUGGGCGUAAAGCGCAUGCAGGUGGUUUGUUAAGUCAGAUGUGAAAGCCCGGGGCUCAACCCCGGAAGGUCAUUUGAAACUGGCAAACUAGAGUACUGUAGAGGGGGGUAGAAUUUCAGGUGUAGCGGUGAAAUGCGUAGAGAUCUGAAGGAAUACCAGUGGCGAAGGCGGCCCCCUGGACAGAUACUGACACUCAGAUGCGAAAGCGUGGGGAGCAAACAGGAUUAGAUACCCUGGUAGUCCACGCCGUAAACGAUGUCUACUUGGAGGUUGCGGUCUUGAACUGUGGCUUUCGGAGCUAACGCGUUAAGUAGACCGCCUGGGGAGUACGGUCGCAAGAUUAAAACUCAAAUGAAUUGACGGGGGCCCGCACAAGCGGUGGAGCAUGUGGUUUAAUUCGAUGCAACGCGAAGAACCUUACCUACUCUUGACAUCCUCA
This 910-nucleotide ribosomal RNA is filed under the name Vibrio parahaemolyticus. RNAcentral's name for it is "bacterial SSU rRNA". It matches the Rfam family "Bacterial small subunit ribosomal RNA", at positions 86 to 992 of the family's 1533-position model. The record is from RNAcentral. Lineage: Bacteria; Pseudomonadati; Pseudomonadota; Gammaproteobacteria; Vibrionales; Vibrionaceae.